This is a non-coding RNA of Henosepilachna vigintioctopunctata, 69 nucleotides long. The record is from the annotation of a GenBank genome assembly. NCBI's taxonomy places the organism in Eukaryota, Metazoa, Arthropoda, Insecta, Coleoptera, Coccinellidae.
UCGGUAGCUUAGUAGUCAGAGCAUCCGGGCGUCAACCUGAAGGCCUGGGUUCUUAUCCCAGUCGAAAAU